AGCCUUCUGUAUCUGUGCUGAGAUUUCGUCACAUCGGACCACGAAGGCUGAUGAGACUCCCAAGAUAAGUGAAGUG
This 76-nucleotide microRNA precursor is filed under the name Schistosoma haematobium. RNAcentral's name for it is "mir-3492 microRNA precursor family". It matches the Rfam family "mir-3492 microRNA precursor family". The record is from Rfam by way of RNAcentral. Lineage: Eukaryota; Metazoa; Platyhelminthes; Trematoda; Strigeidida; Schistosomatidae.